GUAAAUGAAAAAAAUAAGAACUAAACAAGUGAAACUGCGAGCUACUGCUCACUGAUGAUACCCCCGCCGCAAGUGGAUAAUAUUAAUAGUGUAAAAAUAUGCAAGUGUUCGGUAAACAGGAAGUUGUCGAGUGAUGAAUCUGAAAACGCAUCACACGGUAUAGCUGACUUAUAUAAAUCCUGAAACCAAAUUUCAGAAAUCCUUGUAUUGUAGUUCCUGAGAAAAAUGUGACGAAAAUUUUUAACUUGGUUAUCAUGUGUAAAAUCAUACAAGUGUUCGGUAAACAGGAAGUUGUCGAGUGAUGAAUCUGAAAACGCAUCACACGGUAUAGCUGACUUAUAUAAAUCCUGAAACCAAAUUUCAGAAAUCCUUGUAAUGUAGUUCCUGAGAAAAAUGUGACGAAAAUUUUCAACUUGGCUAUCAUGUGUAAAAUCAUACAAGUGUUUCGGUAAACAGGAAGUUGUCGAGUGAUGAAUCUGAAAACGCAUCACACGGUAUAGCUGACUUAUAUAAAUCCUGAAACCAAAUUUCAGAAAUCCUUGUAUUGUAGUUCCUGAGAAAAAUGUGACGAAAAUUUUCAACUUGGCUAUCAUGUGUAAAAUCAGACAAGUGUUCGGUAAACAGGAA
RNAcentral lists this long non-coding RNA (627 nucleotides) under Mytilus galloprovincialis (Mediterranean mussel). The record is from RNAcentral. Lineage: Eukaryota; Metazoa; Mollusca; Bivalvia; Mytilida; Mytilidae.